AUUGAACGCUGGCGGCAUGCCUUACACAUGCAAGUCGAACGGCAGCACGGGUUCUUGCACCUGGUGGCGAGUGGCGAACGGGUGAGUAAUACAUCGGAACAUGUCCUGUAGUGGGGGAUAGCCCGGCGAAAGCCGGAUUAAUACCGCAUACGAUCUACGUAUGAAAUCGGGGGACCUUCGGGCCUCGCGCUUUAGGGUUGGCCGAUGGCUGAUUAGCUAGUUGGUGGGGUAAAGGCCUACCAAGGCGACGAUCAGUAGCUGGUCUGAGAGGACGACCAGCAAAACUGGGACGGAGACACGGAACAGAAUACUACGGGAGGCAGCAGUGGGGAAUGUUGGACAAUGGGCGAAAGCAUGAUCAAGCAAUGCCGCGUGUGUGAAGAAGGCCUUAGGGUUGUAAAGCAAUUUUGUCAGGAAAGAAAAAAUUGGCAAUAAUACGGUCGGGGGAUGACGGUACCGGAAGAAUAAGCACCGGCUAACUACGUG
RNAcentral lists this ribosomal RNA (486 nucleotides) under uncultured bacterium. RNAcentral's name for it is "partial 16S ribosomal RNA". It matches the Rfam family "Bacterial small subunit ribosomal RNA", at positions 29 to 507 of the family's 1533-position model. The record is from RNAcentral.